GGCAUUUGUGGCUUAGUGGUAGAGUGCUUACCUUGCAUGCUCGAGGCCCUGGGUUUGACCCCCAGCACCA
Molecule: transfer RNA, 70 nt
Filed under: Marmota monax (woodchuck)
Lineage: Eukaryota; Metazoa; Chordata; Mammalia; Rodentia; Sciuridae
Description: tRNA.Ala
Source: RNAcentral